GAUGAAGAACGUAGUGAAAUGCGAUACUUGGUGUGAAUUGCAGAAUCCCGUGAACCAUCGAGUCUUUGAACGCAAGUUGCGCCCGAAGCCAUUAGGCCGAGGGCACGCCUGCCUGGGCGUCACACGUCGUUGCCCCCCCAUCUACUCCUUCGGGAUUGCGGGGGGCGGAUGAUGGCCUCCCGUGCGCCUCGCCGCGCGGUUGGCAUACAUGCCAAGUCCUCGGCGACACACGCCACGACAAUCGGUGGUUGCGAAACCUCGGUUGCCCGUCGUGUGCGGUCGUCGCGCAUCGAGGGCUCGAAAAAAUUGCCGGGUUCCGGCUCGGCUUUCAACGCGACCCCAGGUCAGGCGGGGUUACCCGCUGAAUUUAAGCAUAUCAAUAAGCGGAGGA
RNAcentral lists this unclassified non-coding RNA (391 nucleotides) under soil metagenome. RNAcentral's name for it is "partial contains 5.8S ribosomal RNA, internal transcribed spacer 2, and large subunit ribosomal RNA". The stretch from base 1 to 122 matches the Rfam family "5.8S ribosomal RNA", at positions 35 to 154 of the family's 154-position model. The record is from RNAcentral.